This 429-nucleotide ribosomal RNA is filed under the name Chloroflexota bacterium. Its description in RNAcentral is "Chloroflexi bacterium partial 16S ribosomal RNA". It matches the Rfam family "Bacterial small subunit ribosomal RNA", at positions 355 to 776 of the family's 1533-position model. The record is from RNAcentral. Lineage: Bacteria; Bacillati; Chloroflexota.
UGGGGAAUAUUGCACAAUGGGCGCAAGCCUGAUGCAGCCAUGCCGCGUGUAUGAAGAAGGCCUUCGGGUUGUAAAGCACUUUCAGCGGGGAGGAAGGCGUUAAGGUUAAUAACCUUGGCGAUUGACGUUACCCGCAGAAGAAGCACCGGCUAACUCCGUGCCAGCAGCCGCGGUAAUACGGAGGGUGCAAGCGUUAAUCGGAAUUACUGGGCGUAAAGCGCACGCAGGCGGUCUGUCAAGUCGGAUGUGAAAUCCCCGGGCUCAACCUGGGAACUGCAUUCGAAACUUGCAGGCUAGAGUCUUGUAGAGGGGGGUAGAAUUCCAGGUGUAGCGGUGAAAUGCGUAGAGAUCUGGAGGAAUACCGGUGGCGAAGGCGGCCCCCUGGACAAAGACUGACGCUCAGGUGCGAAAGCGUGGGGAGCAAACAGG